UCCGGUUUGUCACCGGCAGUCUCGCAUGAGUCCCCAACUAAAUGCUGGCAACAUGCGACGGGGGUUGCGCUCGUUGCGGGACUUAACCCAACAUCUCACGACACGAGCUGACGACAGCCAUGCAGCACCUGUGCACUCGCCCCUUGCGGGAAGGAAGCUAUCUCUAGCGACCAUACGAGGCAUGUCAAAGGUUGGUAAGGUUCUUCGCGUUGCAUCGAAUUGAGCCACAUGCUCCACCGCUUGUGCGGGCCCCCGUCAAUUCCUUUGAGUUUCAGCCUUGCGGCCGUACUCCCCAGGCGGGGCACUUAACGCGUUAGCUGCGGCACCGAAGGGGUCGCUCCCCCCGGCACCUAGUGCCCAUCGUUUACAGCGUGGACUAC
This 380-nucleotide unclassified non-coding RNA is filed under the name uncultured bacterium. RNAcentral's name for it is "contains 16S-23S intergenic spacer region". The record is from RNAcentral.